UACAGAGGUCCCAAGCGUUGUUCGGAUUCAUUGGGCGUAAAGGGUGCGUAGGUGGCGCCGUAAGUCGGGUGUGAAAUUUCGGAGCUUAACUCCGAAACUGCAUUCGAUACUGCGGUGCUUGAGGACUGGAGAGGAGACUGGAAUUCAUGGUGUAGCAGUGAAAUGCGUAGAGAUCAUGAGGAAGACCAGUGGCGAAGGCGGGUCUCUGGACAGUACCUGACGCUGAGGCACGAAGGUCAGGGGAGCAAACGGG
RNAcentral lists this ribosomal RNA (253 nucleotides) under uncultured bacterium. Its description in RNAcentral is "partial 16S ribosomal RNA". It matches the Rfam family "Bacterial small subunit ribosomal RNA", at positions 524 to 776 of the family's 1533-position model. The record is from RNAcentral.